RNAcentral lists this ribosomal RNA (371 nucleotides) under uncultured organism. Its description in RNAcentral is "partial 16S ribosomal RNA". It matches the Rfam family "Bacterial small subunit ribosomal RNA", at positions 527 to 896 of the family's 1533-position model. The record is from RNAcentral.
GUAGGUGGCAAGCGUUGUCCGGAAUUAUUGGGCGUAAAGCGCGCGCAGGCGGUUCUUUAAGUCUGAUGUGAAAGCCCACGGCUCAACCGUGGAGGGUCAUUGGAAACUGGAGAACUUGAGUACAGAAGAGGAAAGCGGAAUUCCACGUGUAGCGGUGAAAUGCGUAGAGAUGUGGAGGAACACCAGUGGCGAAGGCGGCUUUCUGGUCUGUAACUGACGCUGAGGCGCGAAAGCGUGGGGGAGCAAACAGGAUUAGAUACCCUGGUAGUCCACGCCGUAAACGAUGAGUGCUAAGCGUUAGGGGGUUUCCGCCCCUUAGUGCUGCAGCUAACGCAUUAAGCACUCCGCCUGGGAGUACGGCCGCAAGGCUG